UACGUAGGGUGCGAGCGUUAAUCGGAAUUACUGGGCGUAAAGCGUGCGUAGGCGGUUCGUUAAGUUCGGUGUGAAAGCCCCGAGCUUAACUUGGGAAUUGCGCUUGUGACUGGCGUGCUGGAGUGUGGCAGAGGGAGGUGGAAUUCCACGUGUAGCAGUGAAAUGCGUAGAGAUGUGGAGGAACACCGAUGGCGAAGGCAGCCUCCUGGGCCAGCACUGACGCUCAUGCACGAAAGCGUGGGGAGCAAACAGG
RNAcentral lists this ribosomal RNA (253 nucleotides) under uncultured bacterium. RNAcentral describes it as "partial 16S ribosomal RNA". It matches the Rfam family "Bacterial small subunit ribosomal RNA", at positions 524 to 776 of the family's 1533-position model. The record is from RNAcentral.